AUUGAAGGAAAACAGUGUAAGCUAUCUCGGAAAAAUACUCUGUUUGUUUGAAUUGUUUCGUAAACAUCACAUGAACUGGCCACGAAACAAUAGUUUUGAAAUUCUUCCUGGAACGAAACCAAACAAAUAUUUGGUUGCGGAAACGCGUGACCGUCAUGAGGCAUUUACGAGCAGUGACCCAGUGUCAUCGUCAAGCGCAGGCUUAAAAAUUCCCCAUCUCUUAAGUGUUGU
This is a non-coding RNA of Paramuricea clavata, 231 nucleotides long. NCBI's taxonomy places the organism in Eukaryota, Metazoa, Cnidaria, Anthozoa, Malacalcyonacea, Plexauridae. The record is from the annotation of a GenBank genome assembly.